GAUAAAGGGGAGAACCAAAGCGGCACUCCCAGUCAAACAUGCCCAAGGGCCUAUCACCGCGGAGUUCUGCCAUUGGCCUCUCGACCGAUCACCUUCGACCAUCAAGAUUACUCAGCAAGUAUCCGGAAUGCAGGGUGGGCUGCCCUGGUAUUAGAUCCAAUAAUUGACGGAUACCACUUCACACGAGUCCUGAUGGACGGCGGCAGCAGCUUAAACCUGAUAUAUCAGGACACAAUCCGCAAAAUGGAGAUAGACCCAACGAAAAUUCGCCACGACAAUACUACCUUUAGAGGAGUAACGCCAGGCCCAGGGGCUCAUUGCACGGGCUCCCUGCUACUAGAGGUUAUAUUCGGCUUCCCCGAUCACUUCCCUAGCGAAAAUUUAACCUUCCACAUUGCUCCGUUCCAAGGUGGCUAUCAAGCACUA
This 426-nucleotide ribosomal RNA is filed under the name Triticum aestivum (bread wheat). RNAcentral's name for it is "partial small subunit ribosomal RNA". The record is from RNAcentral. Lineage: Eukaryota; Viridiplantae; Streptophyta; Magnoliopsida; Poales; Poaceae.